AGAGUUUGAUCCUGGCUCAGGAUGAACGCUGGCGGUCUGCUUAACACAUGCAAGUCGAACGGAACUUUUCGGAGUUCAGUGGCGGACGGGUGAGUAACGCGUGAGAAUCUGCCUUCUGGUCGGGGACAACCACUGGAAACGGUGGCUAAUACCGGAUGAGCCUACGGGUAAAAGAUUUAUUGCCAGAAGAGGAGCUCGCGUCUGAUUAGCUAGUUGGUGAGGUAAAGGCUCACCAAGGCAUCGAUCAGUAGCUGGUCUGAGAGGAUGACCAGCCACACUGGGACUGAGACACGGCCCAGACUCCUACGGGAGGCAGCAGUGGGGAAUUUUCCGCAAUGGGCGAAAGCCUGACGGAGCAAGACCGCGUGAGGGAGGAAGGCUCUUGGGUUGUAAACCUCUUUUCUUGGGGAAGAAAAAAAUGACGGUACCCAAGGAAUCAGCAUCGGCUAACUCCGUGCCAGCAGCCGCGGUAAUACGGAGGAUGCAAGCGUUAUCCGGAAUUAUUGGGCGUAAAGCGUCCGCAGGUGGCACUUCAAGUCUGCUGUCAAAGGUCGGGGCUUAACCCCGGGAAGGCAGUGGAAACUGAAGCGCUAGAGUGUCGUAGGGGUAGAGGGAAUUCCCGGUGUAACGGUGAAAUGCGUAGAGAUCGGGAAGAACAUCGGUGGCGAAAGCGCUCUACUGGACGACAACUGACACUCAGGGACGAAAGCUAGGGGAGCGAAUGGGAUUAGAUACCCCAGUAGUCC
RNAcentral lists this ribosomal RNA (746 nucleotides) under uncultured cyanobacterium. RNAcentral's name for it is "bacterial SSU rRNA". It matches the Rfam family "Bacterial small subunit ribosomal RNA", at positions 8 to 796 of the family's 1533-position model. Lineage: Bacteria; Bacillati; Cyanobacteriota. The record is from RNAcentral.